RNAcentral lists this ribosomal RNA (507 nucleotides) under uncultured bacterium. Its description in RNAcentral is "bacterial SSU rRNA". It matches the Rfam family "Bacterial small subunit ribosomal RNA", at positions 28 to 528 of the family's 1533-position model. The record is from RNAcentral.
GAUGAACGCUAGCGACAGGCUUAACACAUGCAAGUCGAGGGGCAUCACGGGUAGCAAUAUCUGGUGGCGACCGGCGAACGGGUGAGUAACGCGUAUGCAACCUACUUGUAAACGGGAGACAACCUGGAGAAAUUUGGGCUAAACUUCCAUGAGGCAUUAUUACUGCAUGGUAAUGAUGUCAAACGUAAGGUUUACAAAUGGGCAUGCGUAUGAUUAGCUAGUUGGUAGGGUAACGACCUACCAAGGCGACGAUCAGUAGGGGGCGUGAGAGCGUGGUCCCCCACACGGGUACUGAGACACGGACCCGACUCCUACGGGAGGCAGCAGUAAGGAAUAUUGGUCAAUGCCCGCAAGGGGUGAACCAGCCAGUUCCGCGUGGAGGAUGAAGGCCCUAUGGGUUGUAAACUUCUUUUAGAUGGGAAGAAAAUGCUAGAUGUAUCUGGUACUGACGGUACAUCAGAAUAAGCACCGGCUAACUCCGUGCCAGCCAGCCGCGUAAAGCUACGU